RNAcentral lists this ribosomal RNA (220 nucleotides) under uncultured bacterium. RNAcentral describes it as "partial 16S ribosomal RNA". It matches the Rfam family "Bacterial small subunit ribosomal RNA", at positions 28 to 250 of the family's 1533-position model. The record is from RNAcentral.
GACGAACGCUGGCGGCGUGCUUAACACAUGCAAGUCGAGCGGUAAGGCCCUUCGGGUACGACGAGCGGCGAACGGGUGAGUAACACGUGGGUGACCUGCCCUUAGCUCUGGGAUAAGCCCUGGGAAACUGGGUCUAAUACCGGAUAUGACCUCAUGACGCAUGUUGUGGGGUGGAAAGCCUUGUGCGGCUAGGGAUGGGCCCGCGGCCUAUCAGCUUGUU